AUGCGACCAAUCAGGAGAUGCCAC
RNAcentral lists this non-coding RNA (24 nucleotides) under Arabidopsis thaliana (thale cress). Lineage: Eukaryota; Viridiplantae; Streptophyta; Magnoliopsida; Brassicales; Brassicaceae. The record is from RNAcentral.